UGCCAGCCGCCGCGGUAAUACGGAGGGUGCGAGCGUUAAUCGGAAUUACUGGGCGUAAAGCGUACGCAGGCGGUUGUUUAAGCCAGAUGUGAAAGCCCCGGGCUCAACCUGGGAAUAGCAUUUGGAACUGGGCAACUAGAGUCUUGUAGAGGGAGGUAGAAUUUCAGGUGUAGCGGUGGAAUGCGUAGAGAUCUGAAGGAAUACCAGUGGCGAAGGCGGCCUCCUGGACAAAGACUGACGCUCAUGUACGAAAGCGUGGGGAGCAAACAGGAUUAGAUA
Molecule: ribosomal RNA, 279 nt
Filed under: uncultured bacterium
Lineage: Bacteria
Description: partial 16S ribosomal RNA
Rfam family: Bacterial small subunit ribosomal RNA
Source: RNAcentral